GACGAACGCUGGCGGCGUGCCUAACACAUGCAAGUCGAACGGAGCUGAGAGAAGCUUGCUUUUCUUAGCUUAGUGGCGAACGGGUGAGUAACGCGUGAGUAACCUGCCCUGGAGUGGGGGACAACAGUUGGAAACGACUGCUAAUACCGCAUAAGCCCACGAUCCGGCAUCGGCUUGAGGGAAAUGGAUUUAUUCGCUUCAGGAUGGACUCGCGUCCAAUUAGCUAGUUGGUGAGGUAACGGCCCACCAAGGCGACGAUUGGUAGCCGGACUGAGAGGUUGAACGGCCACAUUGGGAAUGAGACACGGCCCAGACUCCUACGGGAGGCAGCAGUGGGGGAUAUUGCACAAUGGGGGAAACCCUGAUGCAGCGACGCCGCGUGGAGGAAGAAGGUUUUCGGAUUGUAAACUCCUGUCGUUAGGGACGAUAAUGACGGUACCUAACAAGAAAGCACCGGCUAACUACGUG
This 468-nucleotide ribosomal RNA is filed under the name uncultured bacterium. RNAcentral's name for it is "partial 16S ribosomal RNA". It matches the Rfam family "Bacterial small subunit ribosomal RNA", at positions 28 to 507 of the family's 1533-position model. The record is from RNAcentral.